GACGAACGCUGGCGGCGUGCUUAACACAUGCAAGUGGUGCGACGAACCAGGGCUUGCCCUGGGGCAAAGCCGCGAACGGGUGAGUAACACGUGGGUAAUCUGCCCCGAUGACUGGGACAACCCGAGGAAACUCGGGCUAAUACCGGAUGACGUGCUUGGCUUUAAGGCCUUGUACUAAAGGAAGCUUCGGCCUCCGCAUUGGGAGGAGCCCGCGGCCCAUUUAGCUUGUUGGUGGGGUAACGGCCCACCAAGGCAACGAUGGGUAGCUGGUCUGAGAGGACGAUCAGCCACACUGGGACUGAGACACGGCCCAGACUCCUACGGGAGGCAG
This 331-nucleotide ribosomal RNA is filed under the name uncultured Actinomycetes bacterium. Its description in RNAcentral is "bacterial SSU rRNA". It matches the Rfam family "Bacterial small subunit ribosomal RNA", at positions 28 to 351 of the family's 1533-position model. Lineage: Bacteria; Bacillati; Actinomycetota; Actinomycetes. The record is from RNAcentral.